UGCCAGCAGCCGCGGUAAAACGUAGGGGGCAAGCGUUAUCCGGAAUUACUGGGCAUAAAGGGCGUCUAGGCGGCCCUGCAAGUUCGGCGUAAAAUCUCCCGGCUCAACUGGGAAGCCGCGUCGGAAACUGCGGAGCUAGAGUCUUGGAGGGGUGUGUGGAAUUCCCGGUGGAGUGGUGGAAUGCGUUGAGAUCGGGAGGAACACCAGAAGCGAAGGCGGCACACUGGCCAAGUACUGACGCUGAAGCGCGACAGCGUGGGGAGCGAACGGGAUUAGAUA
This 279-nucleotide ribosomal RNA is filed under the name uncultured bacterium. RNAcentral's name for it is "partial 16S ribosomal RNA". It matches the Rfam family "Bacterial small subunit ribosomal RNA", at positions 506 to 784 of the family's 1533-position model. The record is from RNAcentral.